CCGCAAAGUUCGGACAUGAGCAGCUGAUGUAACUGAAGAAGAGGCUAAAUUCUUACUAACUGGCACCUGCAACGACACGAAUGCAGUAGGUUAGACUGCUUUGCUCACCCACAUUUUCUUCCCAGUUUAUAGAAGAAAUGUUAAGUCAUACCACUCCACUUUAUAUUUGUUUUGCAAGAAACAAGCAUAUAUCAUUUUUGCAAUAGCACAGCGAUGCAGAGAGGUAAUACAAUUUACAUAAGAUCCUAUGAACUGCGUCAUGCCAAAAGACACGGCAGCAGGUUAGACUGUUUUGCGCACCCACAUUUUCUUCCCAGUUUAUAGAAGAAAUAAGUCAUACCACUCCACUUUAUAUUUGUUUUGCAAGAAACAAGCAUAUAUCAUUUUUGCAAUAGCAUAGCGAUGCAGAGAGGUAAUACAAUUUACAUAAGAUCCUAUGAACUGCGUCAUGCCAAAAGACACAUCUGACCUUUUGAAAUGCUGGGCUGGUGUGACAGGUGGAGUUGGACAGAAGAAAUGGUGGCAGAACAUCCCAGGCUGCAUUUGGUGGUCAGACUGGAAUGAGAGGAACUUCAGAUGUUUUGAGGAUGUUAG
This 594-nucleotide long non-coding RNA is filed under the name Nicotiana benthamiana. RNAcentral's name for it is "long non-coding RNA (NBEN_LNC036863)". The record is from RNAcentral. Lineage: Eukaryota; Viridiplantae; Streptophyta; Magnoliopsida; Solanales; Solanaceae.